GGCCCAGCUGAUCACCAAUCACAUAUUCCAAGUAACCAGUAACUUUUCAAGUCGUGUGCACCAAACUGGCAAGCAAGAAGUCUGCCCUCAAGAGGUCCAUCCGGCUCAUCAAGCAUUGCAAUGCAUCACAACUGAAUUGCACAGGUGCAUGCGGGAAGAAUUCCGCAGAAUGUCAAGAUUUCAACAUUGCGUCCCAGCCAGGAUCUGUUAGGUCCAGGGCAAGCAACUGGUGCAGACAGUGCGCCACUGCAUCGCUGUCCCCUCUCCGCUGGUGCGCCACCACAGCCAAUCGCAGCAUCUCAGUCCAGAUUGUAAGCACUGCUCCUUUGCCAGCAAUGUUUCCCUGCGAGUAAGGUACUCUUCAGACCAGAUUAACGAUAUUCCAUUGAAUAGGAAAAGAGCGUGAUGUAAGCCAAGACAAGUGUAAGAUGCUCCCCAGGGCGCAUACCACUUUUGGGAACUGCUGCCGAACUUCCCCAGUACUGCGGAUGUCACCCUUCACAGGGUCCCAAUACCAUGACCCCAAGCGAGGCAAUCUCUGCUUUGUCCCAAACGGCUGCAUUCCACCCACGGUCUG
This 577-nucleotide long non-coding RNA is filed under the name Coccomyxa subellipsoidea. RNAcentral's name for it is "long non-coding RNA (CSUB_LNC000059)". Lineage: Eukaryota; Viridiplantae; Chlorophyta; Trebouxiophyceae; Coccomyxaceae. The record is from RNAcentral.